This 233-nucleotide long non-coding RNA is filed under the name Vigna radiata. RNAcentral's name for it is "long non-coding RNA (VRAD_LNC003696)". The record is from RNAcentral. Lineage: Eukaryota; Viridiplantae; Streptophyta; Magnoliopsida; Fabales; Fabaceae.
GGUUGUAGUAGACAAAAAUACCCUUAUUUAUUAUGGAUUCUAAGUUUUAAGAUUAAGGGUAUUUGAAUAAUUUUCAUUUUCAAAAAAAAAAAAACAAACCUUUACUCACCUCCUCAUUUCUCUAAACCCUUUCUCUUUCAUCUCUCUUACUCCAACCUUCUUUCUGUCAUCCUACGGUAAUCCCAAUUGAAAAAAAAUCAUAAACACUCGCUUAACUCUAAUCUACCUUCUCU